RNAcentral lists this ribosomal RNA (681 nucleotides) under Microbacterium oxydans. RNAcentral describes it as "bacterial SSU rRNA". It matches the Rfam family "Bacterial small subunit ribosomal RNA", at positions 79 to 773 of the family's 1533-position model. Lineage: Bacteria; Bacillati; Actinomycetota; Actinomycetes; Micrococcales; Microbacteriaceae. The record is from RNAcentral.
CUUGCUCUGUGGGAUCAGUGGCGAACGGGUGAGUAACACGUGAGCAACCUGCCCCUGACUCUGGGAUAAGCGCUGGAAACGGCGUCUAAUACUGGAUAUGUGACGUGACCGCAUGGUCUGCGUCUGGAAAGAAUUUCGGUUGGGGAUGGGCUCGCGGCCUAUCAGCUUGUUGGUGAGGUAAUGGCUCACCAAGGCGUCGACGGGUAGCCGGCCUGAGAGGGUGACCGGCCACACUGGGACUGAGACACGGCCCAGACUCCUACGGGAGGCAGCAGUGGGGAAUAUUGCACAAUGGGCGCAAGCCUGAUGCAGCAACGCCGCGUGAGGGACGACGGCCUUCGGGUUGUAAACCUCUUUUAGCAGGGAAGAAGCGAAAGUGACGGUACCUGCAGAAAAAGCGCCGGCUAACUACGUGCCAGCAGCCGCGGUAAUACGUAGGGCGCAAGCGUUAUCCGGAAUUAUUGGGCGUAAAGAGCUCGUAGGCGGUUUGUCGCGUCUGCUGUGAAAUCCGGAGGCUCAACCUCCGGCCUGCAGUGGGUACGGGCAGACUAGAGUGCGGUAGGGGAGAUUGGAAUUCCUGGUGUAGCGGUGGAAUGCGCAGAUAUCAGGAGGAACACCGAUGGCGAAGGCAGAUCUCUGGGCCGUAACUGACGCUGAGGAGCGAAAGGGUGGGGAGCAAAC